CAGCAGCCGCGGUAAUACGUAGGGUGCAAGCGUUGUCCGGAAUCAUUGGGCGUAAAGCGCGCGUAGGUGGCCAUUUAAGUCCGCUGUGAAAGUCAAAGGCUCAACCUUUGAAAGCCGGUGGAUACUGGAUGGCUAGAGUACGGAAGAGGCGAGUGGAAUUCCUGGUGUAGCGGUGGAAUGCGCAGAUAUCAGGAGGAACACCAAUAGCGAAGGCAGCUCGCUGGGACGUUACUGACACUGAGGCGCGAAAGCGUGGGGAGCGAACAGGAUUAGAUACCCCAGUAGUCCCUGUCUCUUAUAC
This 301-nucleotide ribosomal RNA is filed under the name uncultured bacterium. Its description in RNAcentral is "partial 16S ribosomal RNA". It matches the Rfam family "Bacterial small subunit ribosomal RNA", at positions 509 to 807 of the family's 1533-position model. The record is from RNAcentral.